UUCGCUAAAUCAACUCUGACGAAACAGUUUGCUAAAUCAACUAUGUUAUAUCCCAAAUGGUUAAAUUUGGGAAAACUGACAGGAUGUAAAUUAAAACAGGCCUGUGUUGUUGGAGUUUCAUUAACGGUCUGACGGCAAAUAGCGCCGAACAGUUCGCUAAACCAGCAAUUUUAUAUAUCAAAGGGUUAAAUUUGGGAAAACUGACAGGAUGUAAAUCAAGACAGGUUUUCUUUACCAACAAAGCUAACUCGUAAACACGGUGGUGAGGUGUUGUGUCAGAUAUCAUGGAUGGUUUAAAGGUAAAUGGCGGCAAACAAUUUGCUAAACCAAUAAUAGGGUUACAUUUGGAAAACUGACAGGACGAUACCCAAAACAAGUUUUUAACUUCUUCAACAAAGGGUUAAAUAUGGGAGAACUGACAGGAUGUAAAUCAAAUCAGCUCUUCUUCAUCAACAAAGACAUUUUUAUCCCUGGGAUUCGAACCCAUGACCUUCUUCGUAACAUCCUGGAUCCGAAAGCUUUCCGAGUGUUGCGUUCUCUCUCAAUAUUACCCUUCUUCAGAGCAAGAUCUCUGCAUUCCCUGGUGGUCUAAUUUAUGUUAAGUCACCAACCUCCCCCAUGGCUGUUUUGAAACGUCUGCGAAUGGAGACUGUAUUGGUGCAGCCUAGCGCUGCGACAGAGUCCCCGGUGAGAUUACUCUCCACGGGAAAGAGCCACUCACCGAAACCAUCUGCAAGUCCAUGGGGCAGUUUGGGAAGAAAGACCAGACUUCUAAAGAUCUCCACUCUCAACCCCGCUUCCCGUGCGAAGCGAGUAAUUAAUUCCGAUUCGGAGGAAGUCAGCGGCUGGCCUUGGAUCAGUGGCAUGUGUAAUACACGGAAACCCAUUCCUCUGGGAAAACCGCUUGUCCUGGAAUGGACAACUGAGCUCUGCAAUGUUUUGAAGAUAAAGGAAUAUUCUAGUUAAACUCAAUCGGCAAAAUGUGUGAUGUCAUGUUGAUUUCCACACUAAUUAACUUCCUCCUUUUGUUAAAAAGCAGCGAUCUGGGUUACAUUUAUGCACUUACAAUGGAGGCCAAUACACAGUAAAACAUGAUUUUUUUUUUUUUUUUUUUUUUUUUUUUUAUUAAUAAAACAAAGAUAUUUGGAGUAUGUUUAAAAACCAUUCAGUCUUACAAAUUUCAUGGUUAAUUUAAUGUGUUUCUUGCCAUUUCUUUGUAAUUAUUUGUGAAAUUUAUUAGCAAAUUUCUAAUUAGUUUUUUUUUUUUAUUUCAGUGUACAUAAAAGUAAAAUACUUAUUGUUCAAUUGUAUAGCCACAAGAUAUGAACAAUAUGCAUAUUAACAUGACGUAGUGUGAAAAAAAUCAUUUACUAACCUUUUCUCUGUAGGUAUUACAAGAUUUUUAAAAUAUGUUUAAAAAAAAAAAAAACUAUUUCAGCCUUUCUACUUGCAAAUUUCAUGGUUACUUGCCAUUUCUUUGUAAUUAUUUGUGAAAUGUAUUAUUUAUUGUAACUAAUUUAUUGUAACUAUUUCAGUCUUUCUACCUAAAAAUGUCAUGGUUAAUGUAAUGUGUUAUUUGAUAUUUCUUUGUAAUUAUUCAUGAAAUU
Long non-coding RNA from Labeo rohita (rohu), 1607 nucleotides. RefSeq lists it as uncharacterized. The record is from RefSeq and is a predicted model, not a curated record. NCBI's taxonomy places the organism in Eukaryota, Metazoa, Chordata, Actinopteri, Cypriniformes, Cyprinidae. The transcript is spliced from 3 exons.